UCAGAAGUGGCACUUGUAGCAUGUGAGAU
This 29-nucleotide non-coding RNA is filed under the name Homo sapiens (human). The record is from RNAcentral. Lineage: Eukaryota; Metazoa; Chordata; Mammalia; Primates; Hominidae.